GACGAACGCUGGCGGCGUGCUUAACACAUGCAAGUCGAACGGAAAGGCCCUGCUUUUGUGGGGUGCUCGAGUGGCGAACGGGUGAGUAACACGUGAGUAACCUGCCCUUGACUUUGGGAUAACUUCAGGAAACUGGGGCUAAUACCGGAUAGGAGCUCCUGCUGCAUGGUGGGGGUUGGACAGUUUCGGCGGUUGGGGAUGGACUCGCGGCUUAUCAGCUUGUUGGUGGGGUAGUGGCUUACCAAGGCUUUGACGGGUAGCCGGCCUGAGAGGGUGACCGGCUACAGUGGGACUGAGAUACGGCCCAGACUCCUACGGGAGGCAGCAGUGGGGAAUAUUGCACAAUGGACGGAAGCCUGAUGCAGCAACGCCGCGUGCGGGAUGACGGCCUUCGGGUUGUAAACCGCUUUCGCCUGUGACGAAGCGUGAGUGACGGUAAUGGGUAAAGAAGCACCGGCUAACUACGUG
RNAcentral lists this ribosomal RNA (468 nucleotides) under uncultured bacterium. RNAcentral describes it as "partial 16S ribosomal RNA". It matches the Rfam family "Bacterial small subunit ribosomal RNA", at positions 28 to 507 of the family's 1533-position model. The record is from RNAcentral.